RNAcentral lists this ribosomal RNA (468 nucleotides) under uncultured bacterium. RNAcentral describes it as "partial 16S ribosomal RNA". It matches the Rfam family "Bacterial small subunit ribosomal RNA", at positions 28 to 507 of the family's 1533-position model. The record is from RNAcentral.
GACGAACGCUGGCGGCGUGCUUAACACAUGCAAGUCGAACGGAAAGGCCCUGCUUUUGUGUGGUGCUCGAGUGGCGAACGGGUGAGUAACACGUGAGUAACCUGCCCUUGACUUUGGGAUAACAUCAGGAAACUGGGGCUAAUACCUGAUAGGAGCUCCUGCUGCAUGGUGGGGGUUGGAAAGUUUCGGCGGUUGGGGAUGUACUCGCGGCUUAUCAGCUUGUUGGUGGGGUAGUGGCUUACCAAGGCUUUGACGGAUAGCCGGCCUGAGAGGGGGAACGGCGACAUGGGGACUGAGGUAGGGACCAGACGCGUACGGGAGGCAGCAGGGGGGAGUAUUGCACAAUGGGCGGAAGCGUGAUGAAGCAAUGCCGCGUGCGGGAUGACGGCCUUCGGGUUGUAAACCGCUUUAGCCUGUGACGAAGCGUGAGUGACGGUAAUGGGUAAAGAAGCACCGGCUAACUACGUG